UGAUCGUGCCAGUAGCAUACGCUUGUCUCAAAGACUAAGCCAUGCAUGUCUAAGUAUGAACGCUUUUAUUCUGUGUACUAGUGACUGGCUCAUUAUAUCAGUGCUAGUUUAUUUGAUGGUCCUUGCUACUUGGAUAACGGUAGUAAUUCUAGAGCUCAUACAUGCAUUAAUCCCUGAGGUAUGGAAGGGGUGUGUUUCUUAGAUUGAAAUCAAUGCGGGGCUACCCGGAUUCUGGUGAUUCCUAAUAACGUCCGGAUCGACUUCGGUCGAUGCAUCAUGGAAGUUUCUGCCAUAUCAGCUUGGGAUGGUAGGGUAUUGACGUUCCAUGGCUUUAACGGGUAACGGGGAAUUCGGCUUCGAUUCCGGAGAGGGAGCUUGAGACAUUGCUGCCACAUCCAGAGGAAGGCAGCAGGUGGGUAAAUUACUCAAUCGGGUCACCGGGAGGUAGGGACAAUAAAUGACAAUGCCGGGGUUUUAUAAGUCCGGCAAUUGGAAUGAGAACAAUUUAAAUCCUUUAUUGAGGAUCA
This 527-nucleotide ribosomal RNA is filed under the name uncultured eukaryote. RNAcentral describes it as "bacterial SSU rRNA". It matches the Rfam family "Eukaryotic small subunit ribosomal RNA", at positions 9 to 546 of the family's 1831-position model. The record is from RNAcentral.